Molecule: ribosomal RNA, 349 nt
Filed under: uncultured bacterium
Lineage: Bacteria
Description: bacterial SSU rRNA
Rfam family: Bacterial small subunit ribosomal RNA
Source: RNAcentral
UUUCGGCCAGGCAGGGAGUGGCGGACGGGUGAGUAACACGUGGGUGACCUACCCCCUGGUGAGGAAUACCGACGAGAAAUCGUCGACAAAACCGCAUAGGCUCUCGCAAGAGAGCAAAGCUGCUGACUCGCAAGAGCCGGAGGCGCCAGAGGAUGGGCCUGCGGCCGAUUAGCUAGUUGGUGGGGUAACGGCUCACCAAGGCGACGAUCGGUAGCUGGUCUGAGAGGACGAUCAGCCACACUGGGAUUGAGAACGGCCCAGACUCCUACGGGGGGCAGCAGUGAGGAAUUUUCCGCAAUGGAGGCAACUCUGACGGAGCAACGCCGCGUGCAGGACGACGCGUUUCGGC